CCUUAACAUGCAAGUCGAACGGCAGCACGGGCUUCGGCCUGGUGGCGAGUGGCGAACGGGUGAGUAAUACAUCGGAACGUGCCCUGUCGUGGGGGAUAACUAGUCGAAAGAUUAGCUAAUACCGCAUACGACCUGAGGGUGAAAGCGGGGGACCGGUAACGGCCUCGCGCGAUAGGAGCGGCCGAUGUCUGAUUAGCUAGUUGGUGGGGUAAGAGCCUACCAAGGCGACGAUCAGUAGCUGGUCUGAGAGGACGAUCAGCCACACUGGGACUGAGACACGGCCCAGACUCCUACGGGAGGCAGCAGUGGGGAAUUUUGGACAAUGGGGGCAACCCUGAUCCAGCAAUGCCGCGUGUGUGAAGAAGGCCUUCGGGUUGUAAAGCACUUUUGUCCGGAAAGAAAUCCCUUGCCCUAAUACGGCGGGGGGAUGACGGUACCGGAAGAAUAAGCACCGGCUAACUACGUGCCAGCAGCCGCGGUAAUACGUAGGGUGCGAGCGUUAAUCGGAAUUACUGGGCGUAAAGCGUGCGCAGGCGGUUUUGUAAGACAGGCGUGAAAUCCCCGAGCUCAACUUGGGAAUGGCGCUUGUGACUGCAAGGCUAGAGUAUGUCAGAGGGGGGUAGAAUUCCACGUGUAGCAGUGAAAUGCGUAGAGAUGUGGAGGAAUACCGAUGGCGAAGGCAGCCCCCUGGGACGUCACUGACGCUCAUGCACGAAAGCGUGGGGAGCAAACAGGGAUUAGAUACCCUGGUAGUCCACGCCCUAAACGAUGUCAACUAGUUGUUGGGGGAUUCAUUUUCUUCAGUAACGUAGCUAACGCGUGAAGU
This 826-nucleotide ribosomal RNA is filed under the name uncultured Ralstonia sp. RNAcentral's name for it is "bacterial SSU rRNA". It matches the Rfam family "Bacterial small subunit ribosomal RNA", at positions 47 to 865 of the family's 1533-position model. The record is from RNAcentral. Lineage: Bacteria; Pseudomonadati; Pseudomonadota; Betaproteobacteria; Burkholderiales; Burkholderiaceae.